Dioscorea cayenensis subsp. rotundata (Guinea yam) is the source of this 416-nucleotide long non-coding RNA. RefSeq lists it as uncharacterized. Lineage: Eukaryota; Viridiplantae; Streptophyta; Magnoliopsida; Dioscoreales; Dioscoreaceae. The transcript is spliced from 3 exons. The record is from RefSeq and is a predicted model, not a curated record.
AUUCUUAUCAACAGGUGGAUCGCUCUCAAUGGGAUGAGCUGUUAGCGUAUAAUGGAAAAGCUGUACAAUAGGUUUUUAGGGAUCAACAAGGCUUGCAUUUUGCAUUGGCGGUCCAUAUGGUCAUGGUCCUCGAGUUCGUGUGCGUGCCGACGUAACUAUUAGAUUAGAUGGGGCGAAAGUAGUUGAGUUCUCAAUUGUUUGUUGGUAAAGAGAAGUUAAUGAAUUUAACUAAAUGAAGGACAUGAUGAUGAGUUUUGAGAGGAUGAUUCUUCAACAGUCGCAGUUUACCACACAGGACUUACAACCAGUUACUGACGAUCAUGAUGUUGGCUUAUAGUUGUAUUUAUCAUAUAUUUAUUAUUUUGUGUUGAACAUGUAUACUUAAAUAUUUCUUUUUGUAUGAAUUGAUGAGUUUA